RNAcentral lists this transfer RNA (73 nucleotides) under Candidatus Caldarchaeum subterraneum. RNAcentral's name for it is "tRNA-His". It matches the Rfam family "tRNA". From Rfam's summary of the family: Transfer RNA (tRNA) molecules are approximately 80 nucleotides in length. Lineage: Archaea; Thermoproteati; Nitrososphaerota; Candidatus Caldarchaeales; Candidatus Caldarchaeaceae. The record is from RNAcentral.
GCGGGCGUGAGGUAGCCCGGGAGCCUGCGGGCCUGUGGAGCCCGCUGCGCGGGUUCGAAUCCCGCCGCCCGCC